CAGCAGCCACGGGAAUACGAAGGGGGCUAGCGUUGUUCGGAUUUACUGGGCGUAAAGGGCGCGUAGGCGGACUGAUAAGUCAGGGGUGAAAUCCCAAGGCUCAACCUUGGAACUGCCUUUGAUACUGUUUGUCUUGAGUUCGAGAGAGGUAAGUGGAACUGCGAGUGUAGAGGUGAAAUUCGUAGAUAUUCGCAAGAACACCAGUGGCGAAGGCGGCUUACUGGCUCGAAGCUGACGCUGAGGCGCGAAAGCGUGGGGAGCAAACAGGAUUAGAUACCCGCGUAGUCCCUGUCUCUUAUAC
Molecule: ribosomal RNA, 301 nt
Filed under: uncultured bacterium
Lineage: Bacteria
Description: partial 16S ribosomal RNA
Rfam family: Bacterial small subunit ribosomal RNA
Source: RNAcentral